Molecule: ribosomal RNA, 497 nt
Filed under: uncultured bacterium
Lineage: Bacteria
Description: partial 16S ribosomal RNA
Rfam family: Bacterial small subunit ribosomal RNA
Source: RNAcentral
GAUGAACGCUGGCGGCGUGCCUAAUACAUGCAAGUCGAGCGAACAGACGAGGAGCUUUCUCCUCUGACGUUAGCGGCGGACGUGUGAGUAACACGUGGAUAACCUACCUAUAAGACUGGGAUAACUUCGUGAAACCGGAGCUAAUACCGGAUAAUAUAUUGAACCGCAUGGUUCAAUAGUGAAAGACGGUUUUGCUGUCACUGAUAGAUGGAUCCGCGCCGCAUUAGCUAGUUGGUAAGGUAACGGCUUACCAAGGCAACGAUGCGUAGCCGACCUGAGAGGGUGAUCGGCCACACUGGAACUGAGACACGGUCCAGACUCCUACGGGAGGCAGCAGUAGGGAAUCUUCCGCAAUGGGCGAAAGCCUGACGGAGCAACGCCGCGUGAGUGAUGAAGGUCUUCGGAUCGUAAAACUCUGUUAUUAGGGAAGAACAAAUGUGUAAGUAACUAUGCACGUCUUGACGGUACCUAAUCAGAAAGCCACGGCUAACUACGUG